GAUCAUGGCUCAGGAUGAACGCUAGCGGCAGGCCUAACACAUGCAAGUCGAGGGGGCAUCACGAGGUAGCAAUACUUGGUGGCGACCGGCGCACGGGUGCGUAACGCGUAUGUAACCUACCUAUAACAGGGGCAUAACACUGAGAAAUUAGUACUAAUUCCCCAUAAUAUUCGGAGAGGCAUCUCUCCGGGUUGAAAACUCCGGUGGUUAUAGAUGGACAUGCGUUGUAUUAGCUAGUUGGG
RNAcentral lists this ribosomal RNA (242 nucleotides) under uncultured bacterium. Its description in RNAcentral is "partial 16S ribosomal RNA". It matches the Rfam family "Bacterial small subunit ribosomal RNA", at positions 15 to 253 of the family's 1533-position model. The record is from RNAcentral.